UACCCAUAAGCUAGCCUAACCACCAAAACACAACAAACACCAUUAAUAACCCCCUAAACCCUAAAUAGGAACCCUAAAACAUUCUUCCCCCCUAGUAUGGGCGACAAAAAAGGAACCAAGAGCCAUAGAACUAGUACCGCAAGGGAAAGCUGAAAGAGAGGUGAAAAAGAACAGUAAAGUCUAGAGAAGCAGGACUAAACCCCCGUACCUUUUGCAUCAUGAAUUAGCAAGUAUAAACAGGCAAGGGGGACCACAGUCUGCCACCCCGAAACUGAGUGAGCUACUCCAGGACCGCCUAUUACAGGGCAAACCCGUCUCUGUGGCAAAAGAGUGGGAAGAUCCUCGAGUAGAAGUGAUAAACUUACCGAACCCAGUGAUAGCUGGUUGUCUGGAAAAUGGAUAUAAGUUCAGCCCCACCUCUUCUUUACUCAAAAGUAGAAAAUACCACUAUGACAAAAAGAAGAAGGGGGAGUUACUCAAAGGGGGUACAGCCCCUUUGAGAGAAGAAACAACUUUUUAAGCAGGAUAAGGAUUAAAAUAUUUAAGGGAUAGUAACCUAGUGGGCCUAAAAGCAGCCACCUAUAUAGAAAGCGUCAAAGCUCAAACACGACUCCGCCCCAUUAUACCAAUAAACAGCCCAAAGCCCCAAAUAACACCAGACCUCUCCACUGCAAGUGGAGGAGAAGAUGCUAGUAUGAGUAAUAAGAAACCCAAGAGUUUCUCCCAGCACACGCUUAAGCCAGCACGGACAACCCACCGAAAAUUAACGGACCCAAAGAAAGAGGGCAAUGAAAGACGACGAACUAACUAGAAGAACACUCACCCCCACCCGUUGACCCCACACUGGUGUGCCCCAAGGAAAGACAAAAGGGAAGAGAAGGAACUCGGCAAAAUAUCCCAAGCCUCGCCUGUUUACCAAAAACAUCGCCUCUUGCAAACAUAUAUAGAAUAAGAGGUCUGACCUGCCCAGUGACACUAUGUUCAACGGCCGCGGUAUUUUGACCGUGCUAAGGUAGCGCAAUCACUUGUCUUUUAAAUAAGGACCUGUAUGAAAGGUAUGACGAGGGCUUGACUGUCUCCUCUCCCCAGUCAAUGAAAUUGAUCUCCCCGUGCAGAAGCGGGGAUCUUAACAUAAGACGAGAAGACCCUGUGGAGCUUGAGACCCAGGUGUGGCACAUGUUAAAAAAACUUUACUCAAAGGACAAACUAAGUGAAACCCACACCUAUGUCUUCGGUUGGGGUGACCAUGGGGUAGACCUAACCCCCAUGAAGACAGGGAGCACUAGAGGAAAUCUUCCAUAAAUUUACAACUCCCCUCCUAAAAGCCAGAGCCCCACCUCUAGCUAACGAAACAUUCGACUUGAAAUGAUCCGGGAAACCGAUCAACGAACCAAGUUACCCCAGGGAUAACAGCGCUAUCCCCUUCAAGAGCCCAUAUCGCCAAGGGGGUUUACGACCUCGAUGUUGGAUCAGGACAUCCUAAUGGUGCAGCCGCUAUUAAGGGUUCGUUUGUUCAACGAUUAAAGUCCUACGUGAUCUGAGUUCAGACCGGAGUAAUCCAGGUCAGUUUCUAUCUAUGAACGCACUCUCUUCUAGUACGAAAGGACCGAAGAGAGAGGGCCCCUGCUCCCCAGCACGCCCGACCCUUACUUGAUGAAGUCAACUAAACCAAAUAAAGGGGCGCAAGGCCCAUACUUAGAUAUUAGUAU
This 1709-nucleotide ribosomal RNA is filed under the name Psettina iijimae. Its description in RNAcentral is "16S ribosomal RNA". It matches the Rfam family "Bacterial large subunit ribosomal RNA". The record is from RNAcentral. Lineage: Eukaryota; Metazoa; Chordata; Actinopteri; Pleuronectiformes; Bothidae.